AGCGAGCGCUGGCGGCAGGCCUAACACAUGCCAGUCGAACGAACUCUUCGGAGUUAGUGGCGGACGGGUGAGUAACACGUGGGAACGUGCCUUUUGGUUCGGAAUAACUCAGGGAAACUUGUGCUAAUACCGAAUGUGCCCUUCGGGGGAAAGAUUUAUCGCCAUUAGAGCGGCCCGCGUCUGAUUAGCUAGUUGGUGAGGUAACGGCUCACCAAGGCGACGAUCAGUAGCUGGUCUGAGAGGAUGACCAGCCACACUGGGACUGAGACACGGCCCAGACUCCUACGGGAGGCAGCAGUGGGGAAUCUUGCGCAAUGGGCGAAAGCCUGACGCAGCCAUGCCGCGUGAAUGAUGAAGGUCUUAGGAUUGUAAAAUUCUUUCACCGGGGACGAUAAUGACGGUACCCGGAGAAGAAGCCCCGGCUAACUUCGUG
Molecule: ribosomal RNA, 433 nt
Filed under: uncultured bacterium
Lineage: Bacteria
Description: partial 16S ribosomal RNA
Rfam family: Bacterial small subunit ribosomal RNA
Source: RNAcentral